CUAGCGUUAAGUGCUGUGUGAACGGGGAGUUGCCACGUGGACUAAGGCGUAUCCGCGGUUCGAUUGUCGCAUCCCGCUGC
This 80-nucleotide non-coding RNA is filed under the name human gut metagenome. RNAcentral's name for it is "THF riboswitch". It matches the Rfam family "THF (Tetrahydrofolate) riboswitch aptamer", at positions 16 to 99 of the family's 99-position model. From Rfam's summary of the family: THF riboswitch presents a pseudoknot that joins P1-P2 and the loop of P3 and two THF binding. The record is from RNAcentral.